GGUGACUCAUAGUAACUGAUCGAAUCGCAAGGCCUGUGGCCGCGAUAAGUCAUUCAAGUUUCUGCCCCAUCAGCUUUCGAUGGUAGUGUAUUGGACUACCAUGGCGUUUACGGGUAACGGAGGAUUAGGGUUCGAUUCCGGAGAGGGAGCCUGAGAAACGGCUACCACAUCUAAGGAUGGCAGCAGGCGCGUAAAUUACCCAAUCCUGAUUCAGGGAGGUAGUGACAAGAAAUAACGGGCCGGGA
RNAcentral lists this ribosomal RNA (245 nucleotides) under uncultured Spirotrichea. RNAcentral's name for it is "partial small subunit ribosomal RNA". It matches the Rfam family "Eukaryotic small subunit ribosomal RNA", at positions 245 to 490 of the family's 1831-position model. The record is from RNAcentral. Lineage: Eukaryota; Ciliophora; Spirotrichea.